Molecule: small nuclear RNA, 113 nt
Filed under: Aegilops tauschii subsp. strangulata
Lineage: Eukaryota; Viridiplantae; Streptophyta; Magnoliopsida; Poales; Poaceae
Source: RNAcentral
CAGUGUGACCUGGCGGAUCCAAUAAAAUUGGAACGAUAUAGAGAGAUUAGCAUGACCCCGACGCAAGGAUGACACACACAAAAAAGAAGAAGCCCCAAUAGAUACAUUUUUUU